Molecule: long non-coding RNA, 962 nt
Organism: Erinaceus europaeus (western European hedgehog)
Lineage: Eukaryota; Metazoa; Chordata; Mammalia; Eulipotyphla; Erinaceidae
Exons: 3
Source: RefSeq, a predicted model, not a curated record
ACCUCCCGGGACGGCGCACAUCUAGCUCAGCUGUGGUCAAACUAGCGUAAAAGACUCACACCUUUCGGCUCCUGAGCUCUAGCCGAGAAAGAUACCUGACUCAAAAAGGCUGCUGUGGCUCCAGACAUCACACCACUCUCAAGGAAGCAAAACUUGUCUGUCCUGCAUACCUCCCCCCACCGUCUACCUCCCCACAACCAUUAUGCUCUACCAACUGGGCUUGAACUUGGAGGCCUAUCUUCACUUGAAAAUAUUAUGGGGGACCACACAGCAGCAGGUAAGCAGAGGCACCUCUAGAAAAUGUCCUGUGCUGGAGUGCGUGUUCCUUUCUGUGGCUCCCGGAGUGGGAAACUCAUCUAGGCAGGUACAGACACUGUUUCUUUCUGAAUGCCUCCAUGGGCUUUGGUGACUGUCAGAGCCAUGCUGCACUAUUUAACAGGCAAACGGAAAUACAUCAGACUUUGUAAGGGAGAAAGUCACUGGUGAUUUUGCUCAAAUACUUUGAGCUUCUUUGGGUUAACUAGAUAUUGAUAUUUUACAUUUGACUUUACCUUAUUAGUAGGGCUAAAGAGUUUUUUGUUCUGAAGAUGUAUGGAAUGUAUAGAAAAGGAAAGCAAGAGAAAAAAAAAAAGGAAAGCAAGGAGGAACAUGAGUUUAUUUUUUAUUUUCCAUAUUCUUUUUUCAUUAUAUUUAUUUAUUUAUUUAUUUGGAUAGAGACAACCAGAAAUCAAGGGGGAAGGCAGUGGUAGAGAGGGAGAGAGACAGAGACAUCUGCAACACUGCUUCACCAUUUGCAAAGCUUUCCCCCUGCUCGAACCCAGGUCUUUGAGCAUUGUAACAUGUGCAUUCAACCAGAUGCACCACCACCUGACCCCUUAUUUUUCAUUUUCCAACAAUCAAACAUCAUACUAGUGACCCUUAUAGGGAUGAAUUGUAAUAAAAACCAGGAAAAUGAGUUCUGG